CUACGGGCCGCUGCAGUGAGGAAUAUUGCACAGUGGGGGGAACCCUGAUGCAGCAACGCCGCGUGGAGGAUGACGCAUUUCGGUGUGUAAACUCCUUUUAUAUGUCAAGAAAAUGACGGUAGCAUAUGAAUAAGCACCGGCUAACUCCGUGCCAGCAGCCGCGGUAAUACGGAGGGUGCAAGCGUUACUCGGAAUCACUGGGCGUAAAGGACGCGUAGGCGGGUUGGAAAGUCAGGUGUGAAAUCCUACAGCUUAACUGUAGAACUGCACUUGAAACUUCUAAUCUAGAGUAUGGGAGGGGGAGAUGGAAUUAGUGGUGUAGGGGUAAAAUCCGUAGAUAUCACUAGGAAUACCUAAAGCGAAGGCGAUCUCCUGGAACAUUACUGACGCUAAGGCGUGAAAGCGUGGGGAGCAAACAGGAUUAGAUACCCUUGUAGUC
This 439-nucleotide ribosomal RNA is filed under the name uncultured bacterium. RNAcentral's name for it is "partial 16S ribosomal RNA". It matches the Rfam family "Bacterial small subunit ribosomal RNA", at positions 339 to 795 of the family's 1533-position model. The record is from RNAcentral.